AGCGUAGACGGUGUGGCAAGUCUGAUGUGAAAGGCAUGGGCUCAACCUGUGGACUGCAUUGGAAACUGUCAUACUUGAGUGCCGGAGGGGUAAGCGGAAUUCCUAGUGUAGCGGUGAAAUGCGUAGAUAUUAGGAGGAACACCAGUGGCGAAGGCGGCUUACUGGACGGUAACUGACGUUGAGGCUGAAAGCGUGGGGGAGCAAACA
This 207-nucleotide ribosomal RNA is filed under the name uncultured bacterium. Its description in RNAcentral is "partial 16S ribosomal RNA". It matches the Rfam family "Bacterial small subunit ribosomal RNA", at positions 568 to 774 of the family's 1533-position model. The record is from RNAcentral.